CAGCCGCCGCGGGAAUACGUAGGUGGCGAGCGUUGUCCGGAAUCAUUGGGCGUAAAGGGAGCGCAGGCGGGCAUGUAAGUCUUUCUUAAAAGUGCGGGGCUCAACCCCGUGAGGGGAUGGAAACUGUAUGCCUUGAGUGCAGGAGAGGAAAGCGGAAUUCCCAGUGUAGCGGUGAAAUGCGUAGAUAUUGGGAGGAACACCAGUGGCGAAGGCGGCUUUCUGGACUGCAACUGACGCUGAGGCUCGAAAGCCAGGGGAGCGAACGGGAUUAGAUACCCCCGUAGUCCCUGUCUCUUAUACA
Molecule: ribosomal RNA, 301 nt
Filed under: uncultured bacterium
Lineage: Bacteria
Description: partial 16S ribosomal RNA
Rfam family: Bacterial small subunit ribosomal RNA
Source: RNAcentral